Molecule: unclassified non-coding RNA, 376 nt
Filed under: soil metagenome
Description: partial contains 5.8S ribosomal RNA, internal transcribed spacer 2, and large subunit ribosomal RNA
Rfam family: 5.8S ribosomal RNA (bases 1-120)
Source: RNAcentral
GAUGAAGAACGCAGCGAAAUGCGAUAAGUAAUGUGAAUUGCAGAAUUCAGUGAAUCAUCGAAUCUUUGAACGCAUCUUGCGCUCCUUGGUAUUCUGAGGAGCAUGCCUGUUUGAGUGUCAUUAAAUUCUCAACUACACUGACUUUGAAUUGGUGUGGCUUGGAUUUGGGGGGAAUAUUGUUGUGGGCUUUUUGUAUAGUCUGCUCCCCUGAAAUUGAUUAGCGGUACCUUUGUGGAACUGUCUACAGGUGUGAUAAUUAUCUACAUCUUAGACAUCUGCUGGAAUGCUGCUUUCUAAACCUUACUUGUAUUGACAAUCUUGACCUCAAAUCAGGUAGGACUACCCGCUGAACUUAAGCAUAUCAAUAAGCGGAGGA